This 1056-nucleotide long non-coding RNA is filed under the name Monodelphis domestica (gray short-tailed opossum). RNAcentral describes it as "lncRNA (ENSMODG00000042911.1)". Lineage: Eukaryota; Metazoa; Chordata; Mammalia; Didelphimorphia; Didelphidae. The record is from RNAcentral.
ACAAAAUAAUCAUUGCACAAGCCCCCCACCUAUUGGAACAUCCCUUCCUCCACGGACAAAGAGGCAUGUGGUUCAGUUAAAGGCACUCCUGGCACGUGGGAUCACACUCAUCUAAGUGUUGGGCUCUCCUGUUGACUCAACCCCAAGGGCAUAAUGCAGAGCAUAAGGCACCAACCACAUGGUAGAUAGCAGAAGAGGGAUGAAGUCCUAAUUAUCAAGGUCCAAUAAAGAAAUGAGCCAAGAUCACGGAUUGGCCAGUGGGUCCAAGGACUCAUCAGGAGUUGCUUCCUCUGCUGAAUUGAGGUCAAUCAUGGCAAGUUUCACCUGGGAGCAAGGUAUCCACAUUAUUCCCUCACAACCCUAAAAGUGGAAUAACUGGCCAGCAGGACCUGGAAAGGUCCAGAAGGGCUAGAGGCUAGAUGUCUUGAAGGCACCCAUCCACUCAUGGUCUGGCUGGAAUAGAUGCAUCAUCUCUUCCAUGGGCAGAGUUUGUGUCAAAGCUGUGGCCUUCUGGACCCAUCAAAGAGAACCAGACAGGGAGAUUAUGUAUCUUAUCUGGCUUCCAUCCUCUGGGGUCAGGCUCACACUCCAAAGGGACAAGUCUCCAAGGUGUGCUUGGUGGCCUACUAACCUGAAUGUCCAAGGGUGGCAAUCCACAAUCCUGUCUACUACUGGAACAACCCAAGAUGGAAAGUAAGCUGGGUCCAGACUGGCCCAGGAGGAAGAAAGGAGCCUGGAUUGCUUUGGAGAAAUGGGCCUGGGUCUUUCACCAUCCAUGAAAAAGAAAUCUACAAUUUGCACGCCAUUAGGUUUUGGGGAUAUGAUGUGGUUGGGAGCCAUGGAACCAUGGAACCAGAACUUUGGAAGUCCCAAAGGCCAAGGCUGUUCCCUAGCACCACCAAAGCCUUGCCCCACUAGAAGUCACAGAAGGGAUAUUGUCUGAGAGAAGUAUGGUCAGAAAGAGUGGUGGGUCAGUCCUGGGGUAAACUUGAGGGAGACCAUGUGGACAGUCUGCCCGAGACCAGAUUGUGCCCCCCUACGCUGGGCAGAUUCUCU